CCUACGGGUGGCAGCAGUGAGGAAUAUUGGUCAAUGGACGCAAGUCUGAACCAGCCAUGCCGCGUGCAGGAAGACGGCCCUAUGAGUUGUAAACUGCUUUUGUACGAGGGUAAACGCAGAUACGCGUAUCUGUCUGCAAGUACCGUACGAAUAAGGAUCGGCUAACUCCGUGCCAGCAGCCGCGGUAAUACGGAGGGUUCAAGCGUUACCCGGAUUUAUUGGGUUUAAAGGGUGCGUAGGCGGUCUGAUAAGUUAGAGGUGAAAUGCCGGGGCUCAACGUGGGAAUUGCCGCUGAUACUGUUCGGCUAGAGAGUAGUUGCGGUAGGCGGAAUGUAUGGUGUAGCGGUGAAAUGCUUAGAGAUCAUACAGAACACCGAUUGCGAAGGCAGCUUACCGAGCUACUUCUGACGUUGAGGCACGAAAGCGUGGGGAGCAAACAGGAUUAGAUACCCUUGUAGUC
Molecule: ribosomal RNA, 460 nt
Filed under: uncultured bacterium
Lineage: Bacteria
Description: partial 16S ribosomal RNA
Rfam family: Bacterial small subunit ribosomal RNA
Source: RNAcentral